CUUGUACUGAUUGAGAUUUUAACACGAAGUGAGUGGCGAACGGGUGAGUAACACGUGGGUAACCUGCCCAGAAGUAGGGGAUAACACCUGGAAACAGAUGCUAAUACCGUAUAACAGAGAAAACCGCAUGGUUUUCUUUUAAAAGAUGGCUCUGCUAUCACUUCUGGAUGGACCCGCGGCGUAUUAGCUAGUUGGUGAGGUAAAGGCUCACCAAGGCAGUGAUACGUAGCCGACCUGAGAGGGUAAUCGGCCACAUUGGGACUGAGACACGGCCCAGACUCCUACGGGAGGCAGCAGUAGGGAAUCUUCCACAAUGGACGCAAGUCUGAUGGAGCAACGCCGCGUGAGUGAAGAAGGGUUUCGGCUCGUAAAGCUCUGUUGUUAAAGAAGAACGUGGGUAAGAGUAACUGUUUACCCAGUGACGGUAUUUAACCAGAAAGCCACGGCUAACUACGUGCCAGCAGCCGCGGUAAUACGUAGGUGGCAAGCGUUAUCCGGAUUUAUUGGGCGUAAAGCGAGCGCAGGCGGUCUUUUAAGUCUAAUGUGAAAGCCUUCGGCUCAACCGAAGAAGUGCAUUGGAAACUGGGAGACUUGAGUGCAGAAGAGGACAGUGGAACUCCAUGUGUAGCGGUGAAAUGCGUAGAUAUAUGGAAGAACACCAGUGGCGAAGGCGGCUGUCUGGUCUGCAACUGACGCUGAGGCUCGAAAGCAUGGGUAGCGAACAGGAUUAGAUACCCUGGUAGUCCAUGCCGUAAACGAUGAUUACUAAGUGUUGGAGGGUUUCCGCCCUUCAGUGCUGCAGCUAACGCAUUAAGUAAUCCGCCUGGGGAGUACGACCGCAAGGUUGAAACUCAAAAGAAUUGACGGGGGCCCGCACAAGCGGUGGAGCAUGUGGUUUAAUUCGAAGCUACGCGAAGAACCUUACCAGGUCUUGACAUCUUCUGACAGUCUAAGAGAUUAGAGGUUCCCUUCGGGGACAGAAUGACAGGUGGUGCAUGGUUGUCGUCAGCUCGUGUCGUGAGAUGUUGGGUUAAGUCCCGCAACGAGCGCAACCCUUAUUACUAGUUGCCAGCAUUAAGUUGGGCACUCUAGUGAGACUGCCGGUGACAAACCGGAGGAAGGUGGGGACGACGUCAAAUCAUCAUGCCCCUUAUGACCUGGGCUACACACGUGCUACAAUGGAUGGUACAACGAGUCGCGAGACCGCGAGGUUAAGCUAAUCUCUUAAAACCAUUCUCAGUUCGGACUGUAGGCUGCAACUCGCCUACACGAAGUCGGAAUCGCUAGUAAUCGCGGAUCAGCAUGCCGCGGUGAAUACGUUCCCGGGCCUUGUACACACCGCCCGUCACACCAUGAGAGUUUGUAA
RNAcentral lists this ribosomal RNA (1366 nucleotides) under Pediococcus pentosaceus. RNAcentral's name for it is "bacterial SSU rRNA". It matches the Rfam family "Bacterial small subunit ribosomal RNA", at positions 63 to 1417 of the family's 1533-position model. The record is from RNAcentral. Lineage: Bacteria; Bacillati; Bacillota; Bacilli; Lactobacillales; Lactobacillaceae.